CAGAUUGAACGCUGGCGGAAUGCGUUUACACAUGCAAGUCGAACGGUAGAGGGGGCAACCCUUGAGAGUGGCGAACGGUGAGUAAUAUAUCGGAACGUGCCCAGUCGUGGGGGAUAACGUAGCGAAAGUUACGCUAAUACCGCAUACGAUCUAAGGAUGAAAGCGGGGGAUCGCAAGACCUCGCGCGAUUGGAGCGGCCGAUAUCAGAUUAGGUAGUUGGUGAGGUAAAGGCUCACCAAGCCAACGAUCUGUAGCUGGUCUGAGAGGACGACCAGCCACACUGGAACUGAGACACGGUCCAGACUCCUACGGGAGGCAGCAGUGGGGAAUUUUGGACAAUGGGCGCAAGCCUGAUCCAGCAAUGCCGCGUGCAGGAUGAAGGCCUUCGGGUUGUAAACUGCUUUUGUACGGAACGAAACGGUGAGCUCUAAUACAGUUUGCUAAUGACGGUACCGUAAGAAUAAGCACCGGCUAACUACGUG
Molecule: ribosomal RNA, 482 nt
Filed under: uncultured bacterium
Lineage: Bacteria
Description: bacterial SSU rRNA
Rfam family: Bacterial small subunit ribosomal RNA
Source: RNAcentral